AUUUCCUUUUGUGGUGAUUGUUUGAUUUUAAUUUUAGCAAAAGUGUGAAUGCAUGCUUGAUACACAUACACCAAUUAAUCCGCACAUAGUAAGGGCAAUCACCCCAACAAGAUAAGAACUGGAUUUCAUCACCAGAUUCUUGCCCAAAGUAGGUGAAUCAAUUCUCACAUAGCUAUCACCCUAAUUAAAAUUAAUUAGACGUUGGCCCCUAGGGACAUUAGAGCUCAAUAGGAUGAAGAUCACCGAAAGUUGCACCAAUUUCGCUCUGUGGCUUAGUUGAUGUCUAGGCAAGCUUUGUCCCUUUAAGGGAGACAGUUCAU
Molecule: long non-coding RNA, 320 nt
Filed under: Phoenix dactylifera (date palm)
Lineage: Eukaryota; Viridiplantae; Streptophyta; Magnoliopsida; Arecales; Arecaceae
Description: long non-coding RNA (PDAC_LNC015099)
Source: RNAcentral